Molecule: long non-coding RNA, 858 nt
Organism: Ananas comosus (pineapple)
Lineage: Eukaryota; Viridiplantae; Streptophyta; Magnoliopsida; Poales; Bromeliaceae
Exons: 3
Source: RefSeq, a predicted model, not a curated record
UUCCGCAAUGGUUUCUACCCUUUUACGCCGUUGCGACGAAUUUUCCGUCCCCUUGCUCCUCUGAAGAACUCUCGCGCUCGUCGAAUCACAGAGCUCAGUAGCCUCCAUUAAUGGCGGAAACGAAGCUCCGGAAUUCCCCGAACCACCUCCGAGUGGGCGGAAGAAGUCGACUACGGGGACGACCCCCCGUCCCCAUCUCACCUGAAAAAGAUCUCCCAAUCCAACAAUGGCUCAACGUAGUAAAACGUAUGCUAAUAACAAAGAAGAUGAGAAGGACAAGCAAAUAAGAAUGGUCCGAUUAAUCAACCAAGGCUACAACUUUGGACCCAAUACGCUUCAGUUGCUACUUCCGCGGCAAGGUCGCGCCUUUCCUCUUUCUCCUUUUUGUUUCUCUCUUUUCGCCCCCAUCAAAUAUUUAUGACUAGAGGCUUUGGUGCUGUUGUAGUGGUGGUUGCAAUUGGGAAUACCAUUUUUGUCUGUUCCUAAACAUUAUCGCAGUACUCGAUAUAAUUUCACAGCAAAUUUGGGGCAUCACACUGAAAAGGUACCAUGGCUAUGUUGAAGGACUUGAUCAUGAAUUUUGUGGUGCAGGGCGUGGUUCACGCACUGACUUUUCGAUGCGAACGGUCGGCCAAAGGCUCUGUUUGCAGGUGUUAUUAGCUAUUAUUCCUAUGAAUGUGACAAAAUGAGAGGAUCUGAUUGUACCGCGAAAUGUUCCCAUCCUUUGCUCGACUCUUUUUAGGCCAACAACUGUGGUUUUCUAACACGGACUACUCGCUUCAAUUCCUGCUGUACAUACCAUGUGAAUAUUGGAAAAGUUAUUUGCCUUUAACUGCGUCUUUAAAGAGUUGUUAUAAA